CCUACGGGAGGCAGCAGUGGGGGAUAUUGCACAAUGGGGGGAACCCUGAUGCAGCGACGCCGCGUGUGGGAAGACGGUCCUCUGGAUUGUAAACCACUGUCCCCAGGGACGAAAAUGACGGUACCUGGGGAGGAAGCUCCGGCUAACUACGUGCCAGCAGCCGCGGUAAUACGUAGGGAGCGAGCGUUGUCCGGAAUUACUGGGUGUAAAGGGAGCGUAGGCGGGGAUGCAAGUUGGGUGUCAAAACUACCGGCUCAACUGGUAGUCGCACUCAAAACUGCAGCUCUUGAGUGAAGUAGAGGCAGGCGGAAGUCCUAGUGUAGCGGUGAAAUGCGUAGAUAUUAGGAGGAACACCAGUGGCGAAGGCGGCCUACUGGACGGUGACUGACGCUGAGGCUCGAAAGCGUGGGGAGCAAACAGGAUUAGAUACCCUUGUAGUC
RNAcentral lists this ribosomal RNA (440 nucleotides) under uncultured bacterium. Its description in RNAcentral is "partial 16S ribosomal RNA". It matches the Rfam family "Bacterial small subunit ribosomal RNA", at positions 338 to 795 of the family's 1533-position model. The record is from RNAcentral.